RNAcentral lists this unclassified non-coding RNA (229 nucleotides) under plant metagenome. RNAcentral's name for it is "partial contains small subunit ribosomal RNA and internal transcribed spacer 1". The stretch from base 1 to 46 matches the Rfam family "Eukaryotic small subunit ribosomal RNA", at positions 1786 to 1831 of the family's 1831-position model. The record is from RNAcentral.
AAGUCAUAACAAGGUUUCCGUAGGUGAACCUGCGGAAGGAUCAUUAAAAGAGAUAGGGUCUCACGGCCCGACCUCCAACCCUUUGUUGUUUAAAAAACCAUGUUGCUUUGGCGGGACCGUUCGUCCUCGUGACGGACUGUCGGUCUUCGGCCCGGCAAGCGCCCGUCAGAGUCCAACCAAACUCUUGAUAUAACCAGUCGUCUGAGAAUAAAGAUUUAAUCAAUUAAAA